Mirounga angustirostris (Northern elephant seal) is the source of this 3543-nucleotide RNA transcript. It is a transcript of the gene named protein arginine methyltransferase 6, with no coding region annotated. The record is from RefSeq and is a predicted model, not a curated record. The transcript has 2 exons. NCBI's taxonomy places the organism in Eukaryota, Metazoa, Chordata, Mammalia, Carnivora, Phocidae.
CCGCGCAACGCCCGCCGGGAGUCGGUCGGAGCCGCCAAGAUGUCGCAGCCCAAGAGAAGAAAGCUUGAGUCGGGGGGUGGCGGCGAAGGAGGGGAGGGAACUGAAGAGGAAGAUGGCGGAGAGCAGGAGGCGGCCCUGCCGCGACCCCGGAGGGCUAGGCGGGAGCGGGACCAGCUAUACUAUGACUGCUACUCAGACAUAUCGGUCCACGAGGAGAUGAUUGCGGACCGUGUCCGGACCGAUGCCUACCGCCUGGGCAUCCUGCGGAACUGGGCAGGACUACGGGGCAAGACUGUGCUGGACGUGGGCGCGGGCACCGGCAUUCUUAGCAUCUUCUGUGUGCAGGCCGGGGCCCGGCGCGUGUACGCGGUGGAGGCCAGCGCCAUUUGGCAGCAGGCCCGGGAGGUGGUGCGGCUCAACGGGCUGGAGGAUCGGGUGCACGUCCUGCCGGGCCCGGUGGAGACGGUGGAGUUGCCGGAGCAGGUGGAUGCCAUCGUGAGCGAGUGGAUGGGCUACGGACUCCUGCACGAGUCUAUGCUGAGCUCUGUGCUCUACGCGCGGACCAAGUGGCUGAAGGAGGGCGGUCUUCUCCUGCCGGCUUCCGCCGAGCUCUUCGUGGCGCCCAUCAGCGACCAGAUGCUGGAGUUGCGCCUGGGCUUCUGGAGCCAGGUGAAGCAGCUCUACGGGGUGGACAUGAGCUGUCUGGAGAGCUUCGCCACGCGCUGCCUUAUGGGCCACUCGGAGAUCGUGGUGCAGGGUUUGUCCGGGGAGGACGUACUGGCCCGGCCGCAGUGCUUUGCUCAGCUGGAGCUGGCCCGCACCGGCCUGGAGCAGGAACUGGAGGCUGGGGUGGGCGGGCGCUUCCGCUUCAGUUGCUACGGCUCAGCGCCCAUGCACGGCUUUGCCAUCUGGUUCCAGGUGACCUUCCCCGGAGGGGACUCGGAGAAACCGCUGGUGCUGUCCACCUCGCCUUUUCACCCCGUCACGCACUGGAAGCAGGCACUCCUCUACCUGAACGAGCCUGUGCAAGUGGAACAAGAUACGGACAUUUCCGGAGAGAUCACGCUGCUGCCCUCCCGGGAUAACCACCGUCUCCUGCGCGUGCUACUGCGCUACAAAGUAGGCGACCAGGAGGAAAAGACCAAAGACUUUGCCAUGGAGGACUGAGCGUUGCCUUUUCUCCCAGCUACCUCCCGAGGCGCCCAGACCUGCGUGGUAGAGGCGGCGGGGGGUCGGAGGAGAAAGGGAGAUCCCGCGUGCAAGUUUGUUUGGCAGUAUCAGCGUGGCUGUGUAUGACGGACAGUGUGUGACUGGACACCAGAUGAUCCAAGCCCUUUGGAGUGACAACACUUCCAGAAGGAUGAGAGCGUGACAUGCUCCAAUAUCCAGGCACUGUGCAGUCUCUGUGUGAGCUGGAUUGCCUAGGGUCAUUUGGACCACAGGAAUAACUGUCAGCCCUAGGGAGGGAAAACAUGAUGAAGUUCUACCUGCUUUCUUCAGACAGCUUACAUUUAUUUAGCCCUGUGAAACUUUCCAAAUAUUUAUGUUAAUUCACUGGACCAAUGGACAUUUUAUUGAGUAUACCAGAUAACAGUCAUUGUGAUAAGCACUUAGGUAUACAAACCAAUAAAACAUAGUUUUGCUUCCAAGUAGGUAUGUUCAUAGGAUAAACCAAAAAGGAAAAUACGUCAACGAUAAUGGGCUACUUGGGAUGCUGUAGGUGUUAGGGAGGGCAGAUGAUUACCUUCACUUUAUAUACUAGGAAAAAGACACAGAUAUUGAAGGAUUUCCCUAAGGUUAUAUAACUAAUUCUUAACAGUUGAACACAAGUAUCUUAAUUCCUAUCCCCAAACAACUUCUUAGUUUAAAAAAGUUCCAUUGGAGAUCUAUCUUGUAGACCUGAAAGAGCCACCUUCAGUAUAUAGUAUCUCAAGGUUGACAUUAUUAGGUAUUCAUAAAAUAUACCAUGUACCCGUUUCCCUAACAGGUCUAAGUGUGGCAUUCCUUCUGAGGCCCCCAAGAAACAAUGCUCACUGCAGUAGCAAAGAAAAGUCGAGCUCUGACUAUAGGUACUGGCAUCCAAUGAAAUAAGUGUUCACUCAUUUAAUGAUUUAAUAAACACCAACCAUCUAACAAUUAAGUUCUAUGAUAAAUAAGCAAAUGCUACCCUCAACUUGGAUACAGUAGGGGAAUAAAAUUACCUACAUCAGUAGUUUGCACACAUUCUUUAACCUGGAAAGACAUCAUCCAACUAAAUCUCACCUCUGCUGGAGCAAAGAUGAGAAGCCAGCCCUUUUGUCGGCUCUAACCUUAAAAUUCCUCUCAAGUGCAAAAGUGUUACUUGUCAUCACAUAGAUUAAGAGAUCCUCAGAGAAAAAUGUGAUGGUAAGGAGGACAAUGAUUAAUGAGACUAUUUCUCAAAAUUAUUAUAUAUGCUUGUAGGAUAAGACAUUUGAAACAAAAAAUCUGGACCUUACUAAAGCCAAAAUUUUAAUAAAAAGACAUGACGAGUAACAUUGGAAUUGUGCUUCUUUGGGAGCUUUGAUGAUAACAAUCAUCGUUAUUUCUAGUAAUAACUUGGAAUAAAGACUGAUGAAGAUUUCAGUUGAUCAAGUAGCUACCUUUCUAACUCUUAAAAACAAUCACUUAUAUGGGGUGCCUGGGUGGCUUAGUAGGUUAAGCAUCUGCCCUCAGCUCAGGUCAUGACCCCGGGGUCCUGGGAUCGAGAGUCCCACAUUGGGCUCCCUGCUCCUCCCUGCUCCUGGAGGAGUCUGCUUCUCCCUCUCCCUCUGCCCCUCCUCCUGCUUGUGCUCUCUUUCUCUCUCAAAUAUAUAAAAUCUUUUUUUAAAAAAAUUAAAAAUAAAAUAAAAAUCAGUUAUAACAGACAUUUUAGAACACAGAGAGCUGUAAGGAAAGAAAACAUUCCUCCUUUCUCCAGGCUGCCCCCUGCACAAAAAGGAAGGUGGGAUGGAAGUAAAUCCUCCCCAUACUUUUUAAAGUGCUUAACAGGCGUUCUUGCAAUCAUAUGAUGUACAUAUUUGUGAAAAUCACAUCACAUUCUGCAAAAUUGUGCACUAAAAGUAACUUAGAGAAAAUUGGUUGGGUGGACAAUCAAAACUUUGUAACCAGGAGUACUAAGAAUACCAAUAAAAAUAACAGCAGUUAAAAAAAGAUGUUAAUCCUAAUAACACUGCAGUAAUAAGACAGCCUGAUGGAAGAGCAAAAAGAAGAGUUCCUGAGACAAAGCAAAAUGUACAAAAAUGGAGUGGAGGUUUAAUAAACAUUUCAAGACCUAAAGCAUGUGGCCAAACCAUGCCAAGAGGAAGAACAUAGGGUGGGAUACAUUCCUUUUUGACUAGUUGUGUUCAAGUGUGUCAGUGUACUUUCUGUUCAAUGGUUGUUGCCUGGUAGUAUGAAUAAACCAACCAAUAUCCACACUAUGUUCUGACAUUGUUCUUCUACUUAUCAAUAUCAUUUGAGUUUAUUCAUUUACAGAAACAUGCAUGGCAGCAGAACAUUCUGUCCUUUGUUCAACUUCCAGAA